CGGCAAGUAUCAGCCUUCCGAUGAAGAUUUUGAAGCCUUGCAGACUUGCAGUAUUUGCAGAGCGAUUUCCAGAAGUAUAUGUGCCGGGAAAUGAAAUGAUUUUACAAAUACGGAAAGAACUGCUUGGAGCGAUUUUUUGUGUAUUUGCUGAAACUUGAGUGCAAAUGGAUUAGGUUUACAAGCUGCGGGUGGUAAAGAUUAUUGUGAAGUCGUGAUAAACUUCCCUAGCGACACCGUCCCCAAAUGGGUAGGUUCUUCUCUUAUAUUUUCAUCAGAUUGGCUCCUUUGUGUUAUGGUGAUGCUUGCAAAUUUAUAAAUUAUGAUAUGGGGACAAACUUUUUUUAAUAUUUCUUUUUUUGAGGCUUGCUAUGCAGGAAAUUCCAAUAAACAAUCCUGUAUAUCUCAGAUUAGGUGCAUCCUUUGGCUCAGCAGAAAAAGGAACUGGGCUCAAGGCUCUUGAAUUUUCUCUCUAUAUUUGUGAAUCCAUAGAUAUGUAUGGUUUUAAUGUGGAUUCCAGUAUUAAAGAAUGGUAUAAAAAUUUCUUUCCAGCAGUUAGUAUUUCCGAUUUUAUAUACUUGAUAAUGUUUACCUGAGUAGGGAGCCUUAUAAUAUUCUCAGGACUAGAUAUUUCUCUGAAUCUUGACAAGGUCAUACUCCUUUGCCUGGUAGAGCUUCUAGUAGUGGUCCAUCCAAAAUCUAAUGGUGAUUUUUAGUGCCAUGUUAGGGAGCAUGUAUUUGAGAGUGUGUGUAGCAUUUUUCACACCCAAUACCUGUUAAGGAGGCUUGAAGUUGCAAAUUCUAAUUAAGAGGUCAUGGAACAUUGGUGGAGGUUUUUUCUUCUGUUUAUGUGGUGUAUUGGGUCAACAAUUUUGGAUCCAAGAUGGCACCAUCCUAGGAAAAUGAUGUAACCAAGCAAACAGUUAUAUGUUGAUUACUGAAUUGUAAUCAUGGUGAUUGCUUGAUAUCCAGAACUAAAUUUUUAUAUUAUUUUGCAAAUAAAAUUUUCCUCAUUGCAACUUGUAUGAACACUCCAUUAUUCCUUCCUUCCUGAUAUGAGUGAAAUCUUCUCAUUGGUUAUUAUAUUUUGUCAUUAACUGUCUUUUUUAUCUUUUUCUACUUGUUAAGGUUAUCAAAAUCCAUUCUCCUAUGCGAGCUGAACCAAAUUGUGUUGUAAAAUGGGUACCAAGCCGUGGCACAAUUAGAGCUGCUAGAAUCACAUCAGAGAAAUUAUUGAAGAGGGUUGGAGCAGGGUCUGGAGACCCAUUAGCUGCAUGCUCAACUAUUAAGAAGAUAGUUGAGAGAAAGCCAAUCGCAUUGUCAAACCUCAGAAAGGCUGCUGCUGACCAUCAAAAAUUUGUGAAGGGCACAACCAUGUACCCUUUGGAGCAGAGUCUAGGACAUGGGGCACUUUGCACAGUGCCAGCAAAUUGAUUCACACAGAGCUGACUAUUGAUCUGUGAUUUGGUUUGUUUCCACAUUAGCGACUGGACGAAGAAAUGGCUGCUGACCAAUCUACAUUGCAUUAUUCUGUAUAUGAAAGAAUUUGUUCAAGGCGAUGAAGAUUUUUUUUUCAUGCCCCCACGUUUUAUCGAAGUUUUGAUAUUCCCCACUCCCAGUUAGAUAGCAAUUUGUUCAAGUCGAGUAUACGGUUGUUUUUCUUCUAAUUCCGGUG
Non-coding RNA from Corylus avellana, 1672 nucleotides. The record is from RefSeq and is a predicted model, not a curated record. Lineage: Eukaryota; Viridiplantae; Streptophyta; Magnoliopsida; Fagales; Betulaceae.